RNAcentral lists this long non-coding RNA (715 nucleotides) under Homo sapiens (human). Its description in RNAcentral is "non-protein coding lnc-ZIC1-1:4". The record is from RNAcentral. Lineage: Eukaryota; Metazoa; Chordata; Mammalia; Primates; Hominidae.
GACGGAGUUUCACUCUUGUUGCCCAGACUGGAGUGCAAUGGUAUGAUCUCAGCUCACCGCAACCUCUGCCUCACAAGUUCAAGCGAUUCUCUUGCCUCAGCUUCCUGAGUAGCUGGGAUUACAGGCAUGCGUCACCACGUCCAGCUAAUUUUGUAUUUUUAGUAGAGAAGGUGUUUCUCCAUGUUGGCCAGGCUGGUCUCAAACUCCUGACUUCAGGUGAUCCACUGGCCUCAGCUUCCCGAAGUGCUGGGAUUACAGGCAUGAGCUACUGCACCUGGCAGACCUAUACGUUUAUACAACUGGCUGUGCAGUAGAUUACACCAGCAUUGCUACAAACAUCUCCUGGGAAGCUCUAGGAUGUGACUUUAAGCUGGAAAGACUCUCAGGAGCUAGGUUUGAUAUGGCACAAUCUCAAGGCAUCGCUAAGUCUGAAGUUCUUCCAGCAGGUCUGUAAACCACAAAGGACAAGCAGCUCAGAGAUUAGCGAAUGCGUCUCAGCUGUCCUAGAAAAGUGCUGUCAGCAAGUCUGAAGAGUUUCCCAGAAGCCCUGAAAGGACGCAAUAGCAUCAUUUAGCAGAAAGAAACAGCCCUGGAUUAAUGUUCUUUUGGGAUUCAUCUUCUGGCUUUGUGAUUUUGGGCAAGUUACUUAUCUUCCUCCAUUUAUUCACAUAUAUAAUGAGAGGAGUAGUACCUACCUUACAAACUUUUCUGUGAG